This 450-nucleotide ribosomal RNA is filed under the name uncultured bacterium. RNAcentral describes it as "SSU rRNA". It matches the Rfam family "Bacterial small subunit ribosomal RNA", at positions 26 to 518 of the family's 1533-position model. The record is from RNAcentral.
AGAGCGAACGCUGGCGGCAGGCCUAACACAUGCAAGUCGAGCGCCCGUAGCAAUACGGGAGCGGCAGACGGGAUAGUAACACGUGGGAACGCGCCCUUCGGUUCGGAAUAACUCAGGGAAACUUGAGCUAAUACCGGAUACGCCCUUACGGGGAAAGAUUUAUUGCCGAAGGAACGGCCCGCGUCCGAUUAGCUAGUUGGUGAGGUAAUGGCUCACCAAGGCGACGAUCGGUAGCUGGUCUGAGAGGAUGACCAGCAUCACUGGGACUGAGACACGGCCCAGACUCCUACGGGAGGCAGCAGUGGGGAAUAUUGGACAAUGGGCGCAAGCCUGAUCCAGCCAUGCCGCGUGGAUGAUGAAGGCCUUAGGGUUGUAAAGUCCUUUUAAACGGGGAAGAUAAUGACGGUACCCGUAGAAUAAGCCCCGGACUAACUUCGUGCUAGCAGCCGC